Molecule: ribosomal RNA, 391 nt
Filed under: uncultured bacterium
Lineage: Bacteria
Description: bacterial SSU rRNA
Rfam family: Bacterial small subunit ribosomal RNA
Source: RNAcentral
GACGAACGCUGGCGGCGUGCUUAACACAUGCAAGUCGAGCGGUAAGGCCCUUUCGGGGGUACACGAGCGGCGAACGGGUGAGUAACACGUGGGUGACCUGCCCUUAGCUCUGGGAUAAGCCUGGGAAACUGGGUCUAAUACCGGAUAUGACCUCAUGACGCAUGUUGUGGGGUGGAAAGCCUUGUGCGGCUAGGGAUGGACCCGCGGCCUAUCAGCUUGUUGGUGGGGUAAUGGCCUACCAAGGCGACGACGGGUAGCCGGCCUGAGAGGAUGGCCAGCCACAUUGGGGACUGAGAGACGGCCCAGACUCCUACGGGAGGCAGCAGUGGGGAAUCUUGCGCAAUGGCCGAAAGGCUGACGCGGCGACGCCGCGUGGGGAGGAAGGCCUCGG